CUCUGGUUUAAAAAAAAAUCCCAAACUACCUCAUUUUUAGGAGGAGGCGCCAAUUCAAUUGGCGCUUCCUCUUAAAUACUUGAAUGGAGGCGGCAAUUGGAUUGGUUAGGGCAGGUGCCCUAGCCAAGUGGGUUGACGCCCCUGUGUAGUACUUAAGAGGAGACGCCAAUUCAAUUGGAGUCUCAGUGUAAAAUGAUUUUUUUUAUAAAUGGUAUACGUGAUAGAUA
RNAcentral lists this long non-coding RNA (227 nucleotides) under Lathyrus oleraceus (garden pea). RNAcentral's name for it is "Pisum sativum (pea) long non-coding RNA (PSAT_LNC012400)". Lineage: Eukaryota; Viridiplantae; Streptophyta; Magnoliopsida; Fabales; Fabaceae. The record is from RNAcentral.